CGAUAACGAACGAGACCUUAACCUGCUAACUAGUUAGGCCAACGUUUGUUGGUCGUCAACUUCUUAGAGGGACUAUUGACUAUUAGUCAAUGGAAGUUUGAGGCAAUAACAGGUCUGUGAUGCCCUUAGAUGUUCUGGGCCGCACGCGCGCUACACUGAUCAAGUCAGCGAGUCUACAACCUUGGCCGGAAGGUCUGGGUAAUCUUUUGAAACUUGAUCGUGCUGGGGAUAGUCCAUUGCAAUUAUUGGACUUCAACGAGGAAUUCCUAGUAAGCGUGAGUCAUCAGCUCGCGUUGAUUACGUCCCUGCCCUUUGUACACACCGCCCGUCGCUACUACCGAUUGAAUGGCU
Molecule: ribosomal RNA, 351 nt
Filed under: uncultured fungus
Lineage: Eukaryota; Fungi
Description: SSU rRNA
Rfam family: Eukaryotic small subunit ribosomal RNA
Source: RNAcentral